Molecule: non-coding RNA, 93 nt
Organism: Blastosporella zonata
Lineage: Eukaryota; Fungi; Basidiomycota; Agaricomycetes; Agaricales; Lyophyllaceae
Source: the annotation of a GenBank genome assembly
GCCCGCCUAGCUCAAUCGGCUAGAGCGUCAGACUUUUAAGACUGGUCUAACCAUUCAAUCUGAAGGCUGCGAGUUCGACCCUCGCGGUGGGCU